This 433-nucleotide ribosomal RNA is filed under the name uncultured bacterium. RNAcentral describes it as "partial 16S ribosomal RNA". It matches the Rfam family "Bacterial small subunit ribosomal RNA", at positions 29 to 507 of the family's 1533-position model. The record is from RNAcentral.
AACGAACGCUGGCGGCAUGCCUAACACAUGCAAGUCGAACGAGACCUUCGGGUCUAGUGGCGCACGGGUGCGUAACGCGUGGGAACCUGCCCUUAGGUUCGGAAUAACUCCCCGAAGGGGGUGCUCAUACCGGUUAAUGUCUUCGGACCAAAGAUUUAUCGCCUUUGGAUGGGCCCGCGUUGGAUUCGCUAGUUGGUAGGGUAAUAGCCUACCAAGGCGACGAUCCAUAGCUGGUCUGAGAGGAUGAUCAGCCACACUGGGACUGAGACACGGCCCAGACUCCUACGCGAGGGAGCAGUGGGGAAUAUUGGACGAUGGGCGAAAGCCUGAUCCAGCAGUGCCGCGUGAGUGAUGAAGGCCUUAGGGUUGUAAAGCUCUUUUACCCGGGAUGAUAAUGACAGUACCGGGAGAAUAAGCUCCGGCUAACUACGUG